UGUGAAGGUCAAUUGAGAAGUUGGCUGGAGGUAUCAGAAGUGCGAAUGCUGACAUAAGUAACGACAAUGCGAGUGAAAAACUCGCACGCCGGAAGACCAAGGGUUCCUGUCCAACGCUAAUCGGGACAGGGUUAGUCGGCCCCUAAGGCGAGGGCGAAAGCCGUAGUCGAUGGGAAACAGGUUAAUAUUCCUGUACUUUUUGGUACUGCGAUGAGGGGACGGAGAAGGCUAGGCCAGCGCGGCGUUGGUUGUCCGCGUUUAAGGUAGUAGGCUGGGAUCUUAGGUAAAUCCGGGAUUCCGUUAGGCCGAGAACUGAUGACGAGUGUCCAUGUGACGCGAAGUGGUUGAUGCCAUGCUUCCAGGAAAAGCCUCUAAGCUUCAGGUAUCAAGGAACCGUACUCGAAACCGACACAGGUGGUCAGGUAGAGAAUACCAAGGCGCUUGAGAGAACUCGGGUGAAGGAACUAGGCAAAAUAGCACCGUAACUUCGGGAGAAGGUGCGCUCUCUGGUGUGAAGGACUUGCUCCGUAAGCAUCAGGGAGUCGAAGUGACCAGGCCGCUGCAACUGUUUAUCAAAAACACAGCACUCUGCAAACACGAAAGUGGACGUAUAGGGUGUGACUCCUGCCCGGUGCCGGAAGGUUAAUUGAUGGGGUUAGCGCAAGCGAAGCUCUUGAUCGAAGCCCCGGUAAACGGCGGCCGUAACUAUAACGGUCCUAAGGUAGCGAAAUUCCUUGUCGGGUAAGUUCCGACCUGCACGAAUGGAGUAAUGAUGGCGGCGCUGUCUCCACCCGAGACUCAGUGAAAUUGAAAUCGCUGUGAAGAUGCAGUGUACCCGCGGCAAGACGGAAAGACCCCGUGAACCUUUACUAUAGCUUGGCACUGGACUCUGACACUAUCUGUGUAGGAUAGGUGGGAGACUUUGAAGCGUGGUCGCUAGACUGCGUGGAGUCAACCUUGAAAUACCACCCUGGUAUUGUCGGGGUUCUAACGCUGACCCGUCAUCCGGGUUGCGGACAGUGUCUGGUGGGUAGUUUGACUGGGGCGGUCUCCUCCCAAAGAGUAACGGAGGAGCACGAAGGU
RNAcentral lists this ribosomal RNA (1083 nucleotides) under activated sludge metagenome. RNAcentral describes it as "bacterial LSU rRNA". It matches the Rfam family "Bacterial large subunit ribosomal RNA", at positions 1249 to 2317 of the family's 2925-position model. The record is from RNAcentral.